This 253-nucleotide ribosomal RNA is filed under the name uncultured bacterium. RNAcentral's name for it is "partial 16S ribosomal RNA". It matches the Rfam family "Bacterial small subunit ribosomal RNA", at positions 524 to 776 of the family's 1533-position model. The record is from RNAcentral.
UACGUAGGGGGCAAGCGUUGUCCGGAAUUAUUGGGCGUAAAGAGCGCGUAGGCGGUCCGAUAAGUCGGCUGUGAAAGUCAGGGGCUCAACCCUUGGAAGCCGGCCGAUACUGUCGGACUAGAGUCCGGAAGAGGCGAGUGGAAUUCCCGGCGUAGCGGUGAAAUGCGCAGAUAUCGGGAGGAACACCAAUGGCGAAGGCAGCUCGCUGGGACGGUACUGACGCUGAGGCGCGAAAGCGUGGGGAGCAAACAGG